RNAcentral lists this ribosomal RNA (305 nucleotides) under uncultured bacterium. RNAcentral's name for it is "bacterial SSU rRNA". It matches the Rfam family "Bacterial small subunit ribosomal RNA", at positions 338 to 635 of the family's 1533-position model. The record is from RNAcentral.
CCUACGGGACGCAGCAGUAGGGAAUUUUCGUCAAUGGGCGCAAGCCUGAACGAGCAAUGCCGCGUGAACGAGGAAGGUCUUCGGAUCGUAAAGUUCUGUUGAAGGGGAAAAAGAGCGGAGAGAGGAAAUGCUUUCUGAUUGAUAUUACCCUUCGAGGAAGUCACGGCUAACUACGUGCCAGCAGCCGCGGUAAUACGUAGGUGGCGAGCGUUAUCCGGAAUGAUUGGGCGUAAAGGGUGCGUAGGCGGCCUGCUAAGUCUGGAGUGAAAGGUACCGGCUCAACCGGAGUAGGGCAUUGGAAACUG